AAAAAUAGCUUAGGUAAAAAAACAACAAAGUAGGACAAAACCAAGAAUACCACCUCCCUUUAUUAAUCGGGAAAUAGAUUUGUCUUCCACAUUACAUAUUAUUUCUUCAAACAAAAAUUCAGUUUGAUGGGAGUGGAGGAAGGGUAGCUAAAGGAGGGUUUGUCAUCGCCACUACGUGUGCAGUAUUUUUGCAUUCUCUUAUGCAUACAUCGACUGUCCAAUAGCACAAAGAAUUCACAAGGCAACAAUAGAGGUCACGCUCUUUUAUAUAGGCGCACAACCUGAUUCGUAAGUUGAUCUUGUCCAUGCCAUCCAUGAUUAUUUCACCUUUGAAAAGAAGACAAAAAAUUGACCUUAUAUUGUAUGAUUUCAGAUCGACUGAAUAGAAGCAUUAUAUGGCAGAAAACAAAGAAAGAAUGCAAUCGGGUUGCACUAUAGUAGAGACAUAUCCCUUGCAGAUCAACAACUUACAUUGUAUAGUAGUAGCAAUGCAUCCGAGAAGAAGUAGAGAUAGCAGGACCGUCCCACGGAAGGGAGGUGUGUACUUCUCCAUCUAGUUAAUAUGAUGUAAAGGUGGCAAUUGUUUCACGACAUUGACAGGAGUGUUCUAAACAAAACUGG
RNAcentral lists this long non-coding RNA (621 nucleotides) under Triticum aestivum (bread wheat). Its description in RNAcentral is "long non-coding RNA (TAES_LNC007361)". The record is from RNAcentral. Lineage: Eukaryota; Viridiplantae; Streptophyta; Magnoliopsida; Poales; Poaceae.